GAUGAACGCUGGCGGCGUGCCUAAUACAUGCAAGUCGAGCGAACAGACGAGGAGCUUGCUCCUCUGACGUUAGCGGCGGACGGGUGAGUAACACGUGGAUAACCUACCUAUAAGACUGGGAUAACUUCGGGAAACCGGAGCUAAUACCGGAUAAUAUAUUGAACCGCAUGGUUCAAUAGUGAAAGACGGUUUUGCUGUCACUUAUAGAUGGAUCCGCGCCGCAUUAGCUAGUUGGUAAGGUAACGGCUUACCAAGGCAACGAUGCGUAGCCGACCUGAGAGGGUGAUCGGCCACACUGGAACUGAGACACGGUCCAGACUCCUACGGGAGGCAGCAGUAGGGAAGCUGCCGCAAUGGGCGAAAGCCUGACGGAGCAACGCCGCGUGAGUGAUGAAGGUCUUCGGAUCGUAAAACGCUGUUAUUAGGGAAGAACAAAUGUGUAAGUAACUAUGCACGUCUGGACGGUACCUAAGCAGAAAGCCACGGCUAACUACGU
RNAcentral lists this ribosomal RNA (496 nucleotides) under uncultured bacterium. Its description in RNAcentral is "partial 16S ribosomal RNA". It matches the Rfam family "Bacterial small subunit ribosomal RNA", at positions 28 to 506 of the family's 1533-position model. The record is from RNAcentral.